This is a long non-coding RNA of Carassius carassius (crucian carp), 1380 nucleotides long. RefSeq lists it as uncharacterized. NCBI's taxonomy places the organism in Eukaryota, Metazoa, Chordata, Actinopteri, Cypriniformes, Cyprinidae. The record is from RefSeq and is a predicted model, not a curated record. The transcript has 5 exons.
ACUGAAUUUGUUCAUUCAACUAAAAAUUUUAAGUUUUCAGUGUCUCAACUAGUUUAAAAGUUGAAUGAACUAGGUUAUUUGUCCUCAUAACUUAAAAAAAUGUGUUGACUCAAUUCAAUAGCAAUAUCACGUUCACAACAUCACUUAAUCUGGAGAUUCUCGUGAAGGCUGUUGAAGACAGAAGAAGGUCGUCAGCCAUACUAGUCAGUUUCUCCUCAAAGUUUGGACAUUUUACUAGAAUACAACUUUGAUUGAGCGCAGAGUUCAAUAAUCCUGUGGAUGGACCGCAGCGAGUCCUUUUGCAGUUAUCCAUCAAAAUGCUAUGCAGACAUAAUGGAAAUGGCAUUUACAUUGUAGAACUUGGACAAAGUUCACACAGGCUCUGCGCAGGAAUUCAUCAAGGACAUGACUGCUGGGAUUACGCUUGUGGAUGACCAAUCUGAGCACCAUCAGUCUGCAGUGAUGUGGUCCAGCCAUCCAGUGACAUUAAGGAUGUUGAGAAAGAAAUUGAAAAGGGCAUUCUGAUUGCAACUGAGGAACAGCAAUAUGAUGUGCUUCCCAAGGAAUAACCAACAUUGGUCUCAUUUGGACAUCCUGUCAUCACUGACAUCUCCCAUGUCCCCAAGGCAUUUGAACUCCUAAUGGGUCUUUAUGCAGUGAACAUCCACUACUUCCAGCGCAUUAAAUACACUAUUGAGGCUCUGCAAAAACUUGUGAAGAUCAGCUGCUCCCACCAUGUGCUCGCUACAGCGGCAGGAACUGUAGGUGUGGGGAAGUGAAUGUCCAGCGCUCUCUCCACCCUCAACACCACAAAUAAGGUGUCCUUGAGCAAGGCACAACUUCUCCCCGGGCGCUGCAGCAUAAAUGGCUGCCCACUGCUCUGGGUGUGUAUUCACAGUGUGUGUUCACUGCUGUGUGUGUGCACUUUGGAUGGGUUAAAUGAAGAGCACAAAUGUAUGUCAUGUCACUUUCACUUUUCAUACACUAAUUUUUUGUAACUAAUUGUGAUAUUAUAUACAUAUAUCUUGGUUUAUCAUUUUGACCAUGACUUGCAUUAUGGUGGGGGGAGUGCAUGUGAACUUGUGCAGGGUUAAUAUGCAGAGUUCAACCUUCAGAUUUUCAUAUUGAGUUAUGAAAUUAAAAACAAUCCCUGUGGUUUUGAUCUGAUGAAUUGAAAUGCAACUAUUUGUUUCUCAAUCCCAUGCCAAUGUUAUUUAUUAUACAUCACACUUUCAAGUGUCGGUUCAGAUCUUUAGGCUUGUGUUUGUAUUUUGCAUUUUUUGUUUUGUUUAUCAAUUAUCAGUUGAUGUGUUGACAGCAAAUUGCUUGUUCAAUUUAAAUGUGAAUUAAAAAGUGUUGUCUCUAUUAUUAAAUAAAUGA